CAAACAGUAGCUUAAUAUAAAGCAUUCAACUUACAAUUGGACAAUGUUAGUGUAAUCUAACCUUUUUGA
Molecule: transfer RNA, 69 nt
Filed under: Scincella modesta (modest ground skink)
Lineage: Eukaryota; Metazoa; Chordata; Lepidosauria; Squamata; Scincidae
Description: tRNA-Val
Rfam family: tRNA
About the family: Transfer RNA (tRNA) molecules are approximately 80 nucleotides in length. Their secondary structure includes four short double-helical elements and three loops (D, anti-codon, and T loops). Further hydrogen bonds mediate the characteristic L-shaped molecular structure. tRNAs have two regions of fundamental functional importance: the anti-codon, which is responsible for specific mRNA codon recognition, and the 3' end, to which the tRNAs corresponding amino acid is attached (by aminoacyl-tRNA synthetases). tRNAs cope with the degeneracy of the genetic code in two manners: having more than one tRNA (with a specific anti-codon) for a particular amino acid; and 'wobble' base-pairing, i.e. permitting non-standard base-pairing at the 3rd anti-codon position.
Source: RNAcentral